RNAcentral lists this transfer RNA (82 nucleotides) under Elusimicrobiota bacterium. RNAcentral describes it as "Elusimicrobia bacterium tRNA-Leu". It matches the Rfam family "tRNA". From Rfam's summary of the family: Transfer RNA (tRNA) molecules are approximately 80 nucleotides in length. Their secondary structure includes four short double-helical elements and three loops (D, anti-codon, and T loops). Lineage: Bacteria; Pseudomonadati; Elusimicrobiota. The record is from RNAcentral.
GGUCGGGUGGCGGAACCGGCAGACGCGCAUGCCUUAGGAGCAUGUGCCGCAAGGCGUGGGGGUUCGAGUCCCCCCCCGACCA